RNAcentral lists this non-coding RNA (743 nucleotides) under Psylliodes thlaspis. The record is from RNAcentral. Lineage: Eukaryota; Metazoa; Arthropoda; Insecta; Coleoptera; Chrysomelidae.
UAAAAAUUUUAUUUUGGUUUAAUUAUUAAGUGUUAUUUUUUAUUAUAUGUGAAUUUUUAUUAGAAAAUAUAAUUGCAGUAAUUAGUUUUAAAUAUUCAAGUAAUUGAGAUUUAGAAAUAAUAAAAAAUAUAAACAUAAUUUGUGCCAGCAGUUGCGGUUAUACAAAUUAUAUAAUUUAAUUCUUUUAAUUUUAAUUAAUUGUUAUUUAAAUUUUAAAUUAAAAUUUAUUUGGUGAAAUUCUAAAUUUUUAAUUAAAUUUCAAAUAUGAAAAAAUUAGUAAAUUUUAAAUAUAAACUAGGAUUAGAUACCCUAUUAUUUAAAUUAUAAUUAUAAAAAUUAAAUUAGUAUUAGCUAUGUUCUUGAAAAUUAAAAAAUUUGGCGGUAUUUUAGUCUAUUCAGAGGAACCUGUUUUAUAAAUGAUACCCCACGAUUUAAUUUACUUUUAUUAUUAGCUUACAUAUCGUCGUAGUUAAAUAUUUUUAAAGAAUUUUAAUAUUUGAGGAUUUUAUUAAAAAAAAUUUCAGAUCAAGGUGUAGUUUAUAUAAAAGAAAAAAUGGGUUACAAUAAAUUUAUUUUAGGAUUUAUUUUAUUAAUAAAGUUUUGAAUGUGGAUUUGAAAGUAAUUUUAAUUAAUUAGUUAAAAUGAUUUAAGCUCUAAAAUAUGCACAUAUUGCCCGUCGCUUUCAUUUAAGAUGAAAUAAGUCGUAACAAAGUAGAAUUACUGGAAAGUGAUUCUAGAUUCAA